AAUGAACGCUAGCGGCAGGCUUAAUACAUGCAAGUCGAACGGCAGCACGGGUAGCAAUAUCUGGUGGCGAGUGGCGCACGGGUGCGUAACGCGUAUGCAAUCUACCUUCAACUGGUGAAUAGCCCGAAGAAAUUCGGAUUAACACACCAUAGUAUAUUAGAGUGGCAUCACUUUAAUAUUAAACUCCGGUGGUUGAAGAUGAGCAUGCGUGACAUAGCUAGUUGGUGAGGUAAUGGCUCACCAAGGCCACGAUGUCUGGGGGA
This 263-nucleotide ribosomal RNA is filed under the name uncultured bacterium. RNAcentral's name for it is "partial 16S ribosomal RNA". It matches the Rfam family "Bacterial small subunit ribosomal RNA", at positions 29 to 290 of the family's 1533-position model. The record is from RNAcentral.